GACGAACGCUGGCGGCGUGCUUAACACAUGCAAGUCGAACGGAAAGGCCCUGCUUUUGUGGGGUGCUCGAGUGGCGAACGGGUGAGUAACACGUGAGUAACCUGCCCUUGACUUUGGGAUAACUUCAGGAAACUGGGGCUAAUACCGGAUAGGAGCUCCUGCUGCAUGGUGGGGGUUGGAAAGUUUCGGCGGUUGGGGAUGGACUCGCGGCUUAUCAGCUUGUUGGUGGGGUAGUGGCUUACCAAGGCUUUGACGGGUAGCCGGCCUGAGAGGGUGACCGGCCACAUUGGGACUGAGAUACGGCCCAGACUCCUACGGGAGGCAGCAGGGGGGAAUAUUGAACAAUGGGCGGAAGCCUGAUGCAGCAACGCCGCGUGCGGGAUGACGGCCUUCGGGUUGUAAACCGCUUUCGCCUGUGACGAAGCGUAAGUGACGGUAAUGGGUAAAGAAGCACCAGCUAACUACGUG
Molecule: ribosomal RNA, 468 nt
Filed under: uncultured bacterium
Lineage: Bacteria
Description: partial 16S ribosomal RNA
Rfam family: Bacterial small subunit ribosomal RNA
Source: RNAcentral